GCGGGGGGUAACUCCAACCCCUGUGACAUACCAAUUGUUGCCUCGGCGGAUCAGCCCGCUCCCGGUAAAACGGGACGGCCCGCCAGAGGACCCCUAAACUCUGUUUCUAUAUGUAACUUCUGAGUAAAACCAUAAAUAAAUCAAAACUUUCAACAACGGAUCUCUUGGUUCUGGCAUCGAUGAAGAACGCAGCAAAAUGCGAUAAGUAAUGUGAAUUGCAGAAUUCAGUGAAUCAUCGAAUCUUUGAACGCACAUUGCGCCCGCCAGUAUUCUGGCGGGCAUGCCUGUUCGAGCGUCAUUUCAACCCUCAAGCCCCCGGGUUUGGUGUUGGGGAUCGGCGAGCCCUUGCGGCAAGCCGGCCCCGAAAUCUAGUGGCGGUCUCGCUGCAGCUUCCAUUGCGUAGUAGUAAAACCCUCGCAACUGGUACGCGGCGCGGCCAAGCCGUUAAACCCCCAACUUCUGAAUGUUGACCUCGGAUCAGGUAGGAAUACCCGCUGAACUUAAGCAUAUCAAG
Molecule: ribosomal RNA, 514 nt
Filed under: Fusarium proliferatum
Lineage: Eukaryota; Fungi; Ascomycota; Sordariomycetes; Hypocreales; Nectriaceae
Description: eukaryotic LSU rRNA
Rfam family: 5.8S ribosomal RNA (bases 145-298)
Source: RNAcentral